This 497-nucleotide ribosomal RNA is filed under the name uncultured bacterium. Its description in RNAcentral is "partial 16S ribosomal RNA". It matches the Rfam family "Bacterial small subunit ribosomal RNA", at positions 28 to 507 of the family's 1533-position model. The record is from RNAcentral.
GAUGAACGCUGGCGGCGUGCCUAAUACAUGCCAGUCGAGCGAACAGACGAGGAGCUUGCUCCUCUGACGUUAGCGGCGGACGGGUGAGUAACACGUGGAUAACCUACCUAUAAGACUGGGAUAACCUCGGGAAACCGGAGCUAAUACCGGAUAACAUGUUGAACCGCAUGGUUCAACAGUGAAAGACGGUUUUGCUGUCACUUAUAGAUGGAUCCGCGUCGCAUUAGCUAGUUGGUAAGGUAACGGCUUACCAAGGCAACGAUGCGUAGCCGACCUGAGAGGGUGAUCGGCCACACUGGAACUGAGACACGGUCCAGACUCCUACGGGAGGCAGCAGUAGGGAAUCUUCCGCAAUGGGCGAAAGCCUGACGGAGCAACGCCGCGUGAGUGAAGAAGGUCUUCGGAUCGUAAAACUCUGUUAUUAGGGAAGAACAAAUGUGUAAGUAACUAUGCACGUCUUGACGGUACCUAAUCAGAAAGCCACGGCUAACUACGUG